This 444-nucleotide long non-coding RNA is filed under the name Elaeis guineensis (African oil palm). Its description in RNAcentral is "long non-coding RNA (EGUI_LNC054592)". The record is from RNAcentral. Lineage: Eukaryota; Viridiplantae; Streptophyta; Magnoliopsida; Arecales; Arecaceae.
CGAUGAAGGCUCUAGCACAAAUAAAUAAUAGGUUUAAUUAACCUUCAAUUCAGAGGAAAUUGAGAUGAAUAGAAAGACUCUCUCAGUCUGGCCCAGGUCUAGGUCUAGAUUUGGAUCAAUUUCCAAGUCAAAUCUAUCCACUUAAUUUGAUCUAAUUGAAUUGGAUCCAGUAAAAAGGUUAGGUUAACCAAAAUAUUACAUCCAUUUCUCUUCCUCUCUCUCUCUCUCUCAUUUCUUUUUUUCUCUCUUGGCCGAACCCAAAACCACUCGAGUUUUAGGGCAAUCGGAGGGUGGGAUCGACUGCGAUGCAGCCAAAAUGGUCGACAGCUAUCACGACGACAUCGGGGGUGGCGGUCUGGCCUGACAACCAUAGGAGGUCUGAAGGUAAGGGAGGAAAAGGGCUCUGCCCUUCAUGUAAAGGCAAUGAUUCCUAAGGCCGAAAGG